GUGGGGAAUCUUGCGCAAUGGGCGAAAGCCUGACGCAGCCAUGCCGCGUGAAUGAUGAAGGUCUUAUGAUUGUAAAAUUCUUUCACCGGGGACGAUAAUGACGGUACCCGGAGAAGAAGCCCCGGCUAACUUCGUGCCAGCAGCCGCGGUAAUACGAAGGGGGCUAGCGUUGCUCGGAAUUACUGGGCGUAAAGGGCGCGUAGGCGGACAGUUUAGUCAGAGGUGAAAGCCCAGGGCUCAACCUUGGAAUUGCCUUUGAUACUGGCUGUCUUGAGUACGGGAGAGGUGAGUGGAACUCCGAGUGUAGAGGUGAAAUUCGUAGAUAUUCGGAAGAACACCAGUGGCGAAGGCGACUCACUGGCCCGUUACUGACGCUGAGGCGCGAAAGCGUGGGGAGCAAACAGGAUUAGAAACCCUAGUAGUCC
Molecule: ribosomal RNA, 425 nt
Filed under: uncultured bacterium
Lineage: Bacteria
Description: partial 16S ribosomal RNA
Rfam family: Bacterial small subunit ribosomal RNA
Source: RNAcentral